CACUUUUACAGAUUUCUUCGGAAUGAAGUUUUAGUGACUGAGUGGCGGACGGGUGAGUAACGCGUGGGUAACCUGCCUCACACAGGGGGAUAACAGUUGGAAACGGCUGCUAAUACCGCAUAAGCGCACAGUACCGCAUGGUACGGUGUGAAAAACUCCGGUGGUACAAGAUGGACCCGCGUCUGAUUAGCUGGUUGGUGAGGUAACGGCCCACCAAGGCGACGAUCAGUAGCCGACUUGAGAGGGUGACCGGCCACAUUGGGACUGAGACACGGCCCAAACUCC
This 285-nucleotide ribosomal RNA is filed under the name uncultured Lachnospiraceae bacterium. Its description in RNAcentral is "partial 16S ribosomal RNA". The stretch from base 47 to 285 matches the Rfam family "Bacterial small subunit ribosomal RNA", at positions 100 to 339 of the family's 1533-position model. The record is from RNAcentral. Lineage: Bacteria; Bacillati; Bacillota; Clostridia; Lachnospirales; Lachnospiraceae.